This 449-nucleotide ribosomal RNA is filed under the name uncultured bacterium. RNAcentral describes it as "partial 16S ribosomal RNA". It matches the Rfam family "Bacterial small subunit ribosomal RNA", at positions 29 to 523 of the family's 1533-position model. The record is from RNAcentral.
AAUGAACGCUGGCGGCAGGCCUAACACAUGCAAGUCGAACGGAUCCUUCGGGAUUAGUGGCGGACGGGUGAGUAACGCGUGGAAACAUACCAUUUGGUACGGAAUAGCCUCGGGAAACUGGGAGUAAUACCGUAGGUGGUCGAGAGACGAAAGAUUUAUCGCCAAAGGAUUGGCCCGCGUUGGAUUAGGUAGUUGGUGGGGUAAUGGCCUACCAAGCCGACGAUCCAUAGCUGGUUUGAGAGGAUGAUCAGCCAAACUGGGACUGAGACACGGCCCAGACUCCUACGGGAGGCAGCAGUGGGGAAUCUUAGACAAUGGGGGAAACCCUGAUCUAGCCAUGCCGCGUGAUCGAUGAAGGCCUUAGGGUUGUAAAGAUCUUUCUGGUGGGAAGAUAAUGACUGUACCACCAGAAGAAGCCCCGGCUAACUCCGUGCCAGCCGCCGCCGUAA